UCGAACCAGUUGGCUCAAGUGGUUCAAUGCCUCAUGAGGCUUCAUCUCACCAUCACUAAUUUAUGCUCCGUGGCCACCCCUGGCGAUGUCCUGGCCACCCCACCGGCCAGUGUAAAUGGUAGUAGCGUCAGUUUAGCAUUUCAUCCCAUUAUGCACAGCCAGCAACACCGCUGCUCUUCUUGACUUUCUUGCGCACCGUAGCUCACCCUGCUGCUCCCCCUCCCCCGCACGCCCGCCCUCCCCCUCCCUUCUAGCCGCUGCUGCGUUCUCGGACAACUACGGCUCAGCGCGUGCCCGCCUUCAACGGUGAUAAAAGGAAUUCAUAGAGAAAGCAAAUACGACUAACGAUAUAUCCCAGUCAAGACUAGAACGGCCCAGGCAGCCACAACUAAAAAUCUUCCCUCGAACCUGUCAUGGAGACAGAAGAAGAUGCUUUUCUAAAGACU
This is a long non-coding RNA of Fundulus heteroclitus (mummichog), 446 nucleotides long. RefSeq lists it as uncharacterized. The transcript is spliced from 2 exons. NCBI's taxonomy places the organism in Eukaryota, Metazoa, Chordata, Actinopteri, Cyprinodontiformes, Fundulidae. The record is from RefSeq and is a predicted model, not a curated record.